Long non-coding RNA from Pseudoliparis swirei, 486 nucleotides. RefSeq lists it as uncharacterized. The transcript has 3 exons. The record is from RefSeq and is a predicted model, not a curated record. Lineage: Eukaryota; Metazoa; Chordata; Actinopteri; Perciformes; Liparidae.
GACCGGAAGUGUUAUUGUUGUUGGCGGAAAGCUAACAGAGCUAACUGAGCUCCGGGGCUAUCGGAGCUGCUCGGCUCCUCGCGCAGGUCUCCAGAUGGAGCGGCGGCGUCCGGCCCAGGAGGACGUGUGUCCUCUGCUCUCUAAAUCCAUGAGGACAGACGGAGAGCUCAUGAACCUGGAGAGGAAGUCUUGCACAGGAAGUUCCUCUGGGGGCCCGCCGGGCUCCUGUGACGGGAGCUGUGACAUCACCAGGACGCGCCAACACACCUGUGUCAAUAAAGUUUGGUUGAACUCGUCCAGCGAGGAUGAACAGGGACGGCUGGACAUCGACCUGGACAGGAAGUCACGGCAGCUGAACCUGACGUCCAGCAACGUGCGCGCAAUCCUGCACGAGGUGAUCACCCAUGAGCACGUGGUGGCCAUGAUGAAAGCUGCCAUCAGAGAAACUCAAGACCUGCCCAUGUUUGUGAGUGUAAACAGUUUAAC